RNAcentral lists this ribosomal RNA (422 nucleotides) under uncultured bacterium. RNAcentral describes it as "bacterial SSU rRNA". It matches the Rfam family "Bacterial small subunit ribosomal RNA", at positions 355 to 774 of the family's 1533-position model. The record is from RNAcentral.
UGAGGAAUAUUGGUCAAUGGACGGAAGUCUGAACCAGCCAUGCCGCGUGCAGGAUGACGGCCCUAUGGGUUGUAAACUGCUUUUAUUCGGGAAUAAACCUCUUUACGAGUAGAGAGCUGAAGGUACCGAAUGAAUAAGCACCGGCUAACUCCGCGCCAGCAGCCGCGGUAAUACGUAGGGGGCAAGCGUUGUCCGGAUUUACUGGGUGUAAAGGGCGCGCAGGCGGGAUAAAAAGUCAGUGGUGAAAUCCUACAGCUUAACUGUAGAACUGCCUUUGAUACUUUUAAUCUUGAGUUCGGGAGAGGGAGACGGAAUUCCAGGUGUAGUGGUGAAAUACGUAGAUAUCUGGAAGAACACCAGUUGCGAAGGCGGUCUCUUGGUCCGACACUGACGCUGAGGCGCGAAAGCGUGGGGAGCAAACA